RNAcentral lists this ribosomal RNA (1374 nucleotides) under Triticum aestivum (bread wheat). Its description in RNAcentral is "partial small subunit ribosomal RNA". Lineage: Eukaryota; Viridiplantae; Streptophyta; Magnoliopsida; Poales; Poaceae. The record is from RNAcentral.
AUGGAUAAGGUGGAUAAGGUGGUCGCCGGGGGUGGCGAGGUGCAGCAGUCGGAGCCGGAGCCAGAACCGGCUGCUGAGCCGUCGACGUUUGCGGAGCUGGGCAUCUGCCCCAAGCUGGUGGAGGCGUGUGACGCCAUGGGGUGGAAGCAGCCCACGAAGAUCCAGGCGGGGGCCAUCCCUUACGCUCUCAAAGGCAGGGACCUGAUUGGUCUGGGACAGACGGGGUCGGGGAAGACAGGUGCCUUUGCGCUGCCGAUUAUCCAGGCGCUGAUCCAGCACCCCCAGCCCUUCUUCGCCUGCGUCAUGUUGCCCACGAGGGAGCUAGCGAUUCAGAUUGCGGAGCAGUUUGAGGCGUUGGGGUCAGCGAUCGGCUUGGUUUGCUCAGUGCUUGUUGGAGGAGUUGACCGGAUGCAGCAAGUGUUAUCCAUUGCAAAACGUCCACAUAUUGUGGUUGGAACUCCUGGCCGUCUUUUGGACCAUUUGAAAGAUACAAAAGGUUUUAGCCUAACUAAAUUGAAAUACUUGGUACUUGAUGAAGCUGAUAAAUUACUUAAUUUGGAGUUCAAGGAAUCACUUGAUGAGAUUCUGAAUGUCAUUCCUAAAGAAAGGAUAACCUACCUUUUUUCAGCGACAAUGACCAAAAAGGUAAGCAAACUGCAACGUGCUUGUCUCAGAAACCCUGUCAAGAUUGAAGUAUCCUCCAAAUAUUCUACAGUGGACACACUUAAAGAAGAGUGGUACUUCGUUCCUGCAGAUUACAAGGAUUGUUAUCUUGUUCAUGUUCUGAAUGAGUUGCCAGGGAGCAUGACCAUGAUCUUCGUGCGGACCUGCGAGUCAACAAGACUCCUUGCUCUCACUUUAAGGAAUCUUGGUUUUAAAGCUCUCUCUAUCAGUGGCCAGAUGAGUCAGGACAAAAGACUAGGCGCUUUAAACAAGUUCAAAGCAAAGGAAUUCAACAUCCUUAUUUGCACCGACGUGGCAAGCCGUGGUCUUGACAUUCAAGGAGUUGAUGUGGUUAUGAAUUAUGAUAUUCCAAUGAAUUCUAAGGAUUAUGUACAUCGGGUCGGUAGGACUGCGCGUGCAGGGCAAUCAGGAUAUGCUGUAUCUUUUGUGAAUCAGUAUGAGGGUCUGUGGUUUAAGAUGAUCGAGGCGCUCCUUGGAAAGGAAAUUCCUGUCCGGACGGCAGACGCUGAUGAGAUCCUGAUACUUCGUGAGCAUAUAUCCGAUUCAAAGAGGAUUGCACUGAUGAAACUGAAGGAGGACGGUGGUCACAAGAGGAGGAAAGCGGAGGACGAGGAUAAAGAAGAGGAGGAAGCUCCAAGAGGUCGCCACCGAAAACCGAGGUCUUUCAAGAAAUCAAAAGGGCGGCGAUAG